GAUGAACGCUGGCGGCGUGCCUAAUACAUGCAAGUCGAGCGAGCGGCGGACGGGUGAGUAAUGCCUAGGAAUCUGCCUGGUAGUGGGGGAUAACGUCCGGAAACGGGCGCUAAUACCGCAUACCAUCAGAUGUGCCCAGAUGGGAUUAGCUAGUAGGUGGGGUAAUGGCUCACCUAGGCGACGAUCCCUAGCUGGUCUGAGAGGAUGACCAGCCACACUGGAACUGAGACACGGUCCAGACUCCUACGGGAGGCAGCAGUGGGGAAUAUUGCACAAUGGGCGCAAGCCUGAUGCAGCCAUGCCGCGUGUAUGAAGAAGGCCUUCGGGUUGUAAAGUACUUUCAGCGGGGAGGCGUUACCCGCAGAAGAAGCACCGGCUAACUCCGUGCCAGCAGCCGCGGUAAUUC
RNAcentral lists this ribosomal RNA (406 nucleotides) under uncultured bacterium. RNAcentral describes it as "partial 16S ribosomal RNA". It matches the Rfam family "Bacterial small subunit ribosomal RNA", at positions 28 to 526 of the family's 1533-position model. The record is from RNAcentral.